AAAUUGAAGCCCAUGCCGUCACUUGAGAGUCGCACUGCAUGUCAUCGCCUCUCUCUCUCUCUCCCUCGCUCUAUCUCUUUCUCAUGAACACCCUGAUCGCAGUCACCGACAGUGAGAUCAAUGGUCGCAGGGGUUCCUUUUUAGCUCAGAGAGGCGAGCAAUGAGAGGAGAGAAGGGAAAAAGGAAGUUACUACGUUGUCAUUUCUGCCGUCUCUUUUUGUCUAUAAAGAAGAUAUUGACGGAAGAAAACGCUCACAUCCAAAACAUCUCUCUCUCUCUCUCUCUCUCUCUCUCUCUCUAAUACGAUUCCCACGCACGAUGCCACAACGGCUGCCUCGCAGCUCUCAUUUCCGGAGCCGUUUUCCUGGGCAGAGAGCCAGUGUCUCGUCCACUGGGUGGCCUGUGCAUGUCUAAUUCAUCUUCUCUGAUGUGUUGUUGCGGAGAGAGUGAGGAAGGGAAGGGAAAGGCGCCACCUUGAUGAGUUCUUCACUGCCAAAAUCGGAUUUUUAUGAGAUAGGAGGUUCCGUAGAUGGUUUCCGGUCUUUAGCGAUGGGGAGUGCUGAGGGCAUUUUGGCUGGGUAAAGAAGAAGCCUUCAAACAAACACACCGAAAAAAGAUGAGACCUUUAGUUGGAAUUGAUGCCUGCGAUUAACUGAUAUCAGUCACUGUCUCUUUUUGUUUGCAUUGGUUUUGUGUUCUAAUUUACCUCAAAUUUGUAUUCCCUCUCGGUUCUGUAAAGAUCCAAUCUUUACAUCAUUCAAAGUUCUGCAACUGAGGAGGAGGAGGAGGAGGACAAGAAGAGAUUCCAGUGCCAAACUCAGGUCUUCACCUCCGCAGAGAUCUCAAUGUACCAACCAAACAUCUUUCUUUGGAAGAGAUCCAGAGCAGUCGGUGCCAAACAAGGCCUGAUGUCAUCUUUCCAUGGCGGCAGCAGCUGUGGCAAGCCCGCAGCUUCCUCACUCUUGCCUUCUGCAAGGUUCUCUGAGGCUGCCAUGAGCCCAACCUCCACACCAGAAACCAGAAACUUGUCUUCCAUUGGCAAUCAUAUCCCCCCUUUUGAUGCGAUUACCACUAGCAGCGCCUCUGUUUCAGACACCAAGCAGCAUCCAUGGAGAAAUCGAGGCUCGAGACCCACUGGGCUCGGCAUCAUCGACGCUCUCAGUGACGAACAGUUCGACACCAAGCCACAGCGCAGUAUGGUUCUGCUCGGAACAAAGCUGAAGAUCCAAAUUCCUUCCCUUUGUCCGACCUCCAACUCGCCGGUUGGGUCCCCGAUCGAGUUCGGCAUCAAGAACAGAGACUCCCAGUUGGCUCACCUUUCUCCUGCCCAGAGCUCUCCCGGCUCGGAGAUGCCAGCUUCCUCCCCUCGGGUCUUCGCCGGAAGCAACUUCUCCAUGAGCGAGAUGGAGCUCUCGGAGGACUACACCUGCGUGAUCUUUCAUGGCCCGAAUCCGAGGACUACACACAUCUUCGACAGCUGCGCAGUGGAGCAGUGCGGAGAUGGCUUCACUCGAUCAACCAAAAGCCGCAGCUUUGCAGCUGAUAGCAGAGGGUAUCCUUUGAAUGAGUCCUUGAGCUUCUGCUGCGCAUGCAAGAAGAAUGUCGAGCAAGGAAAGGAAACCUUCAUGUAUAAAGGUGAGAAAGCAUUUUGCAGUAGUGAAUGCUGCAUCAAAGGGAUGCUUGAUGAGUAUGGGAUAGAGACAAGUGCUCAGAGGAGUCAUCACUCACGAUGUGAUCCAUGCUUCUAAUUACCACAGCAAAUUUGAUCUCCAAUUAAGCCUUUUUUUUUAGUGGUUUGUGGAUCCUAAUCAAAUGGGGAUGGAAGUGAUCUUGAAGAACCAAAUCAUUCAUUCACUUCGUUGGUGUUCUCCAUGAGUUUUGCUUUCAGAGAAGUGAUUUCUCUAAGAAAGCUGGUAGGAUCAAAUCCAAGACAGAUAUUUGUUGGUGUUAAAACAUGUUCUUACGAUGAUUUCUUCUCUAAGAAAGUUUGU
Molecule: RNA transcript, 1991 nt
Organism: Musa acuminata subsp. malaccensis (wild Malaysian banana)
Lineage: Eukaryota; Viridiplantae; Streptophyta; Magnoliopsida; Zingiberales; Musaceae
Gene name: FCS-Like Zinc finger 8
Source: RefSeq, a predicted model, not a curated record